Molecule: long non-coding RNA, 830 nt
Organism: Chinchilla lanigera (long-tailed chinchilla)
Lineage: Eukaryota; Metazoa; Chordata; Mammalia; Rodentia; Chinchillidae
Exons: 3
Source: RefSeq, a predicted model, not a curated record
CUUGAGCUCACCUAGGACGGCUCUAGGAACUUCCAGAAACGACCUUGAGCGGGGCUCGCGAUACAGCUGUUGUAAGAAUUUAAGCAGAAAGACUGCUAAGUGUGCCAUAUAGUUUUACUGUUUGGGCCUGGAAGAGUAUCACCUGCUUCCUGUGAGGACAAGGGAUUCACCUGAAGGUCAUCUUUAAGAGAAAAAAGAUCUGGCUGGAUCACACACAGAUCUUUGACUGGUGAAAAACAAAUAUUAUUAACCGGCUGAAUACUAAUGGUUGGAUACAGCUGAAUACAAAGGAGGUACAUGUGAGAUUGCUGGAAAUCUCAGGAGAUUUCCAAUCCUACACACAUGUCGUUGUGUAAUCCCCUCCUCAAGGGUGUGAACAGACCUAGUGACUUCCUCCUACAGUAGAGGUGACAGAGUGUCACUUCCACGGUUAGGCUACUUCCAUCCUGCUACCUGAUGUCCUGCCUCCCGGCUGUGAUGAAGCCAUGCUGCACAGGCCCAUGUGGUAAGAACCAAGGAUGGCCCACAGACAGUAUCUGGGAGCUGAACACUGUUGAAAACCACACAAACUUAAAAGUAAAUUCCUCCCGAGCCUUCAGAGUCCAGUCCGGGUCAACAUCUUGACUGUAACCUUACUGGAAGCCCUGCAGCUGGCACAAAUAAACUAUACCCAGACUACCAACCUGGAAAGACUAUGGGUAAUAAGUGUGUUUUGUGUUAAACCACUAACACUGUGGUAAUUUGUUGCAUAGCAACAAUAGAGAAUAAUUAAAUUUGGAACACAAUUAUUUAUUUUUUGUAUUUCUUUUCUUUUUUAUUUAUUUAUUUAU